RNAcentral lists this ribosomal RNA (440 nucleotides) under uncultured bacterium. Its description in RNAcentral is "partial 16S ribosomal RNA". It matches the Rfam family "Bacterial small subunit ribosomal RNA", at positions 338 to 795 of the family's 1533-position model. The record is from RNAcentral.
CCUACGGGAGACAGCAGUAGGGAAUAUUGCUCAAUGGGGGAAACCCUGAAGCAGCAACGCCGCGUGGAGGAUGAAGGUUUUCGGAUUGUAAACUCCUUUUGUUAGAGAAGAUAAUGACGGUAUCUAACGAAUAAGCACCGGCUAACUCCGUGCCAGCAGCCGCGGUAAUACGGAGGGUGCAAGCGUUACUCGGAAUCACUGGGCGUAAGGAGCGCGUAGGCGGGAUAGCAAGUCAGAUGUGAAAUCCUAUGGCUUAACCAUAGAACUGCAUUUGAAACUGUUAUUCUAGAGUAUGGGAGAGGUAGGUGGAAUUCUUGGUGUAGGGGUAAAAUCCGUAGAGAUCAAGAGGAAUACUCAUUGCGAAGGCGACCUGCUAGAACAUAACUGACGCUGAUGCGCGAAAGCGUGGGGAGCAAACAGGAUUAGAUACCCCAGUAGUC